RNAcentral lists this ribosomal RNA (646 nucleotides) under uncultured eukaryote. RNAcentral describes it as "SSU rRNA". It matches the Rfam family "Eukaryotic small subunit ribosomal RNA", at positions 1034 to 1693 of the family's 1831-position model. The record is from RNAcentral.
AAACGAUGCCAACCAGCAAUCCGCCUGAGUUCCUUAAAUGACUCGGCGGGCGGCUUCCGGGAAACCAAAGUUUUUCGGUUCCGGGGGAAGUAUGGUUGCAAAGCUGAAACUUAAAGGAAUUGACGGAAGGGCACCACCAGGAGUGGAGCCUGCGGCUUAAUUUGACUCAACACGGGAAAACUUACCCGGCCCGGACACUGGAAGGAUUGACAGAUUGAGAGCUCUUUCUUGAUUCAGUGGGUGGUGGUGCAUGGCCGUUCUUAGUUGGUGGAGCGAUUUGUCUGGUUAAUUCCGAUAACGAACGAGACUCUAGCCUACUAAAUAGACCAGAGGCUUCUUAAAACACGUCUCUGGCUGCUUCUUAGAGGGACAGGCGGCGGUUCAGCCGCACGAAACAGAGCAAUAACAGGUCUGUGAUGCCCUUAGAUGUCCGGGGCCGCACGCGCGCUACACUGAAGUGAUCAGCGUGCUUUUUGUACCCUGCUCUGCCAAGAGUGGGUAACCCAAUGAACCUUCUUCGUGAUUGGGAUAGGGGAUUGUAAUUAUUCCCCUUGAACGAGGAAUUCCCAGUAAGCGCGAGUCAUAAGCUCGCGUUGAUUACGUCCCUGCCCUUUGUACACACCGCCCGUCGCUACUACCGAUUGAA